GCCGGGGUAGUCUAGCCCGGGAAGGCGUCGGCCUCGAAAGCCGAUGUUGCUUGGCAACGCGGGAGUUCAAAUCUCCCCCCCGGCG
This 85-nucleotide transfer RNA is filed under the name Methanomicrobiales archaeon. RNAcentral describes it as "tRNA-Ser". It matches the Rfam family "tRNA". Rfam says of the family: Transfer RNA (tRNA) molecules are approximately 80 nucleotides in length. Their secondary structure includes four short double-helical elements and three loops (D, anti-codon, and T loops). Further hydrogen bonds mediate the characteristic L-shaped molecular structure. tRNAs have two regions of fundamental functional importance: the anti-codon, which is responsible for specific mRNA codon recognition, and the 3' end, to which the tRNAs corresponding amino acid is attached (by aminoacyl-tRNA synthetases). tRNAs cope with the degeneracy of the genetic code in two manners: having more than one tRNA (with a specific anti-codon) for a particular amino acid; and 'wobble' base-pairing, i.e. permitting non-standard base-pairing at the 3rd anti-codon position. Lineage: Archaea; Methanobacteriati; Methanobacteriota; Methanomicrobia; Methanomicrobiales. The record is from RNAcentral.